UGCCCUUAAUAAAAAUUAGGUCUUUAAUGCCUCUUUAAUGCUUCUUUAAUGCUGAAGGGUCUUUUUGGAAAAAAAUAAAAAAGGAGUGAUUCCCACCUCAUGGGAAAGUAACUUUCCCAUGUUUCUCAUGGGAAAGUGUUUCUCAUGGGAAAGACUUUCCCAUGAAAUGUGGGAAUCAUAUUCCCAUGGGAAUACAACUUUCCCAUCUCUCUCCUUUGAAAACUCCAACCAAACAAGAGGCAUUUCAUUACUUUUCCGUUGACCACACUUUCCCCCCUCCUUUUCCUGCGAACCAAACGAGCC
This 303-nucleotide long non-coding RNA is filed under the name Phoenix dactylifera (date palm). RNAcentral's name for it is "long non-coding RNA (PDAC_LNC004931)". Lineage: Eukaryota; Viridiplantae; Streptophyta; Magnoliopsida; Arecales; Arecaceae. The record is from RNAcentral.